GAUGAACGCUGGCGGCGUGCCUAAUACAUGCAAGUCGAGCGAACAGACCAGGAGCUUGCUCCUCUGACGUUAGCGGCGGACGGGUGAGUAACACGUGUAUCACCUACCUGUAAUACUGGUAUAACUUCGGGAAACCGGAGAUAAUACCGGAUAAUCUAUUGAACCGCAUGGUUCAAUAGAAAAAUACGGUUUUGCUGUCACUUAUAGAUGGAUCCGCGCUGCAUGAUCGAGUUGGUAAGGUAACGGCUUACCAAGGCAACGAUGCGUAGCCGACCUGAGAGCGGGAUGGGCCACCCAGGAGCUGAGACACGGUCCUGACUCCUAGGGGAGGCAGCAGCAGGGAAGCUUCCGAGCAGGGCGAAAGACUGAAGGAGCAACGCAGCGUGAGUGAUGAAGGUCUGCGGAUCGUAAAACUCUGUUAUUAGGGAAGAACAAAUGUGUAAGUAACUAUGCACGUCUUGCCGGUAUCUAAUCAGAAAGCCACGGCUAACUACUU
Molecule: ribosomal RNA, 496 nt
Filed under: uncultured bacterium
Lineage: Bacteria
Description: partial 16S ribosomal RNA
Rfam family: Bacterial small subunit ribosomal RNA
Source: RNAcentral